AUUGAACGCUGGCGGCAUGCUUCACACAUGCAAGUCGAACGGUAACAGGUUAAGCUGACGAGUGGCGAACGGGUGAGUAAUGCAUCGGAACGUGCCCGAUCGUGGGGGAUAACGCAGCGAAAGCUGCGCUAAUACCGCAUACGAUCUGAGGAUGAAAGCGGGGGACCGUAAGGCCUCGCGCGAUCGGAGCGGCCGAUGUCGGAUUAGGUAGUUGGUGGGGUAAAGGCCCACCAAGCCGACGAUCUGUAGCUGGUCUGAGAGGACGACCAGCCACACUGGGACUGAGACACGGCCCAGACUCCUACGGGAGGCAGCAGUGGGGAAUUUUGGACAAUGGGCGAAAGCCUGAUCCAGCAAUGCCGCGUGCAGGAAGAAGGCCUUCGGGUUGUAAACUGCUUUUGUACGGAGCGAAAAGGUCCUUUCUAAUACAAGGGGCUCAUGACGGUACCGUAAGAAUAAGCACCGGCUAACUACGUGCCAGCAGCCGCGGUAA
RNAcentral lists this ribosomal RNA (493 nucleotides) under uncultured bacterium. RNAcentral's name for it is "partial 16S ribosomal RNA". It matches the Rfam family "Bacterial small subunit ribosomal RNA", at positions 29 to 523 of the family's 1533-position model. The record is from RNAcentral.